CUCCAGACUCCUACGGGAGGCAGCAGUGGGGAAUAUUGCACAAUGGGGGAAACCCUGAUGCAGCGACGCCGCGUGAGCGAUGAAGUAUUUCGGUAUGUAAAGCUCUCUCGGCAGGGAAGAAGAUGACGGUACCUGACUAAGAAGCCCCGGCUAACUACGUGCCAGCAGCCGCGGUAAUACGUAGGGGGCAAGCGUUAUCCGGAUUUACUGGGUGUAAAGGGAGCGUAGACGGCGAUGCAAGCCAGAUGUGAAAGCCCGGGGCUCAACCCCGGGACUGCAUUUGGAACUGUGUGGCUGGAGUGUCGGAGAGGCAGGCGGAAUUCCUAGUGUAGCGGUGAAAUGCGUAGAUAUUAGGAGGAACACCAGUGGCGAAGGCGGCCUGCUGGACGAUGACUGACGUUGAGGCUCGAAAGCGUGGGGAGCAAACAGGAUUAGAUACCCCUGUA
Molecule: ribosomal RNA, 446 nt
Filed under: uncultured bacterium
Lineage: Bacteria
Description: bacterial SSU rRNA
Rfam family: Bacterial small subunit ribosomal RNA
Source: RNAcentral